AACGAACGCUGGCGGCGCGUCUUAAGCAUGCAAGUCGAACGGCAAGAGAGGAGCUUGCUUCUCUCCUAGAGUGGCGGACUGGUGAGGAACACGUGGGUAAUCUACCCUUAAGAUGGGGAUAGCUGCUAGAAAUAGCAGGUAAUACCGAAUACACUCGGCAUAUCACAAGAGGUGUUGAGGAAAGGAAGCUACGGCUGCGCCUGAGGAUGAGAUUGGGUCCCUUUUGCUAGUGGGUGGGGGAAAGGGCCACCAAGGCGACGAUGGGUACCCGGCCUGGGGGGGUGAACGGCACAAUUGGACCUGAGAUCCGGCCCAACCUCCUACGGGAGGCAGCGGCUAAGAUUUUUCCGCAAUGGACGAAAGUCUGACGAAGCGACGCGGCUUGGAUGAAGAAGUCUUAGGAUUGGUAAAAUCCUUUUGUUGAUGAAGAAUAAGGGUGAGAGAUAAUGCUCAUCUGUUGCCGUAACUAGACAAAUAGGCCCCGCCUAAUUCGGU
Molecule: ribosomal RNA, 495 nt
Filed under: uncultured bacterium
Lineage: Bacteria
Description: partial 16S ribosomal RNA
Rfam family: Bacterial small subunit ribosomal RNA
Source: RNAcentral